RNAcentral lists this long non-coding RNA (969 nucleotides) under Populus trichocarpa (black cottonwood). RNAcentral's name for it is "long non-coding RNA (PTRI_LNC004791)". Lineage: Eukaryota; Viridiplantae; Streptophyta; Magnoliopsida; Malpighiales; Salicaceae. The record is from RNAcentral.
UGCAAAAGAUUUGAUUAGGGUUUUGUAGAACGGAAUGAAUUGGAAAUUUGAUGCAGCAUUAGAUCUUUCAAGUAAUUGAUCUUGUAAUGAUGAAUUUGAUAGUUUCAAGCUUUUUGUUUCUAAUUUUAAAUUUAUCUUCCUUCCUUCCUUUUUUUUUUCUGUGGUGUGGGUGUGCUAUUAUUGAUUAAUCAUUUGUUAAGACCUAAUUAGUGUUUUACUUUAGUUUGUGAACAUGAUAGUUGGUUGACAAAUGACAUGAGACUUUGUUUAAGGUCUGAGAUUUGCAUGGUUGAAAGUGGACUGACUCUGUAUGAGAUGGAGAAGCAAUGAAAGAUGAAAGUUUGUGAGCUAGUUGUUUGAAAAGUCAUGGCAAAGUUUAGGGUUGCCAAGUUAUGAUAGCAGGUGGGAUUGGAUGGGAUGAAUUUGUCAAGUAUUAGAAAGGAAGUGAACCUGGGCUCUUGAUAAAUUAGACUAAUUUUUUGUUGCAAGUUAUCUGGAGCUUUGGAUUGCCAUACUGUGUUCUUUUUCAGGAAAGGAGCACUUACAUGAUGACAUUGAGAGCUUAAGGGAGCUUCAACAAUAAUUCAAUGUAUUGUGCUUGUAGUUUGGCUUGCUUUUAGUUCUUUGCGGGGGCAAAUGUGUUUUGCUUCUAGCUUGUUUUGCCAUGCAUUUGAGUUUCGAGCUUACGUCCAAGGGGUUUAAAUCCUCUUAAAUACAGAUCAAGCUGAAAAUUUUCCUUGAAUGUUGUGUUGGGGUAUUUCUAAUUGUUGUCGUGAUUGCUGAGUUUGUUGGCAGUGAGGAAGGUACACGCCUUGUGAUUUAUGUCUCUGAAAAAACCCAAAAUCUUGGAGAAUACAUGGUGGGCAUUUGUUUUUCUAUGAUGCUGUGCAACUAUCUUUCUUUAGUCUUCCAGGAUUUGUUGCUUCUCGGAGUACUGCAAAUGUUUGCACGCAUGCUAGAAGCCCUUCU